RNAcentral lists this long non-coding RNA (2392 nucleotides) under Sus scrofa (pig). Its description in RNAcentral is "lncRNA (ENSSSCG00015001720.1)". Lineage: Eukaryota; Metazoa; Chordata; Mammalia; Artiodactyla; Suidae. The record is from RNAcentral.
UCGACCUCUAGCCUGGGAACCUCCAUAUGCUGCAGGUGCGGCCCUAAAAAAAAAAAAAAGAAAAAAAGAAAAAAGAAAGAAAGAAAGAAAAGAAAGGGAAGGGAAAGGAAAGGAAAGAAAAGGAAAGGCAAGGAAAAAGAAAAGGAAAGAAAAAAGAAAAGAGGAUAAGGUCAACUAACCUACACAGCAUUUAAAAGAAAGAAUGUGACCAAGUGGCCAUAUGAGCGGUAGAGAAUAAUAAAUAUGAAAAUGAUUUUGCAAUGUAAGAAAAAUGUGUGGCCUAGGGCAGCUGAAGAAAGCUUGAUGGAUUUGGUGAAAUUUUAAACAGUAGUUAGAAAAAGUAUGAGAAGCUCAAAAGGCAUAACCCUCUAUAGGUUAUCCAUUGCAGUGUAGACUUCUAUAAUAGAACCGCAUUCAAGGCUAGCUUGAAAACUGUGGAGGCCUGAAACAUAGCUUUGGGAUACAGCUUUUUUAAAAAAAUAAAUAAAUAGAAGUAACGUUUAAAAUAUUUGAACUGAAGACUAAAUCAAUUUCUUCAUCACUAGAUCAAGUCGUUGACAUUCACCCACAUGGAAAAAAAUUUAACUUUCCAAUCCAGACCCUAAGUCUCAUUCUGGGAGAAAACCCAUUAAAUAAUGAAGGAAGGAAACAGUUGAAAAGUACAUCUUUAUUUUGUGGUGAAUACAGUGAAUGCUGGGGGUGCCUCACCGUGUUUGCGCUUUGGGGUUAUUGCAAAUACUGACGUCUUUGCCGCAGUUACCAGACUGUUGGUUUGUAACUGACUUCAGGGUAGGAGCAGGUAGGAAUUUAUAGGAGUUAUCCUUCCAGGAAGAGUAAGGAGAAUGGUUUUUGGAGGCAGAGACUUAAACCUACCGAUCUUUCAAAGGAGUUGAGUGACUCCUCCCCUGGAAAAAUAAGUAGUUUUCAAUCCUUUUUAAGUCGAAUAUUCCGUAGAGCUAUCACUGGGAAUGGAGGGAAAUGAAAAUGUAGGCGGAUAGGGUUCCAACUCAUAAAGGGAUUAUAAUAGAAUUCUUUGAAUUUCACACCAAAGUUUUACAUUAUUUCAUUAAGUUUACACCAGUACAUUUCUUUUUUUACUUUUAGUUUUAUUCAUAUGUAGUGUUGUGCCAAUUUCUGCUGUACAGCAAAGUGUUCCAGCCAUAUGCAUAUAUACGCACAUUCUUUUUCUAUUAUCUUCCAUCAUGGUCCAUCCCAAAAGACUGGAUAGAGUUCCCUGGGCUCUGCAGCAGGACCUUAUUCCCCAUCCAUUCUAAAUGCAAUAGUUUGCAUCUACUAACCCCAAACUCCCCAUCCAUCCCUCUCUCUCCCUCUCCCCCUCGGCGAUCGCAAGGCUGUUCUCCAUGUCUGUGAGUCUGUUUCUGUUUUGUAGAUCGGUUCAUUUUGUGCCAUAUUUUAGAUUUCACAUAUUCAGUGAGUUUUCUGGACUGAAUGAAAUUGGGUUGUGAUGAUCAUUGUACAACUAUAAAUGUAAUACAAUUCAUUGAGUAAUAGAAAAGAAUGAUAAAGCUAGAGGCUCUGAUUCCAAAAUAAAUAAAUAAAAAAUAUAAAUAUAAAUAAACAUCUAUAUUAUUAUUAAAAAAUUUAAGGAGUCUGGUCCUGAAAAUAAAAAGUAUAAAACUCUAGGUGGGCAUUAUAGAGGAAUAACAGUUGGGCUGUUUUGUUUUUUUCUUUUAGAAUUUGUGAAUCGACUCUAUGUAAUUCGUAGUUUAAAAGAAUUGGUAAAUGUGUCUGCUGAGGUCUCAUUUUGUCCUUUGUCACGACUCUAAUCUCAGUUCUCUUCACUCACAGGACCAACAUCUCAGUUCAUCUGGAGCUACAUUUUCAUAUUCCUUUCAUGAGUUUAAACACGUUAGUCAUCAUCACACCCAUUUCCUGUAAAUUAUAACUGUGAUAUUUGGGGACUUUUCUCAGUUUCCAGACUCUGGGUUUUUCAGAUACUCAAUUGACUUAGCAGUUUUACAAGGAGCCUAAGUAAACCGGGCUCAUGUUAAAUGUUCAUGUUACUUGUCAACUACAUCCUGAUUUCAGGUAUGUUUUUAAAAUGUUAAAUGUAUUUUAAAAUAAGGAAACUUGAUAGAUAGUGAUUUGGCAGGGACCCAUUAAAGCUAUCAGAUGUAUCAAGGGCCCUAGUUCCAUACUCUGUGCCACACUCACGGUGGAUUUUGAUUAUGUGACUUUACAGAAGGCAGAACUGUGGGCUUUUUCUGUUUUAAAUUUAAAAUAAUAUCCUAUCUUUAGGUGUUAACAGAGAGCAUUUUUAAGCAGAAGGGAAUGAAACAAUUAUUAUCUUUCAUGGUUGUGUUAUCCUUAGCAGAUAAAUCAACGGCUUCUCGUGCAAAUAACUGUGGAUCAGCAUACCUAAGAUUUAGGU